AGAGUUUGAUCCUGGCUCAGGACGAACGCUGGCGGCGUGCUUAACACAUGCAAGUCGAGCGAGGCCCUCCUUCGGGGGGUGCCCUAGCGGCGAACGGGUGAGUAACACGUGGGCAACCUGCCCUCAGCUCUGGGAUAACUCCAAGAAAUUGGUGCUAAUACCGGAUGUGACCGCUGACCGCAUGGUCUGGUGGUGGAAAGAUUCAUCGGCUGAGGAUGGGCCCGCGGCCUAUCAGCUUGUUGGUGGGGUAAUGGCCCACCAAGGCGACGACGGGUAGCCGGCCUGAGAGGGUGACCGGCCACACUGGGACUGAGACACGGCCCAGACUCCUACGGGAGGCAGCAGUGGGGAAUAUUGCGCAAUGGGCGAAAGCCUGACGCAGCGACGCCGCGUGAGGGAUGACGGCCUUCGGGUUGUAAACCUCUUUCAGUAGGGACGAAGCGAAAGUGACGGUACCUACAGAAGAAGCACCGGCCAACUACGUGCCAGCAGCCGCGGUAAUACGUAGGGUGCAAGCGUUGUCCGGAAUUAUUGGGCGUAAAGAGCUCGUAGGCGGUCUGUCACGUCGGCUGUGAAAACCCGAGGCUCAACCUCGGGCCUGCAGUCGAUACGGGCAAACUAGAGUACUGCAGGGGAGACUGGAAUUCCUGGUGUAGCGGUGAAAUGCGCAGAUAUCAGGAGGAACACCGGUGGCGAAGGCGGGUCUCUGGGCAGUAACUGACGCUGAGGAGCGAAAGCGUGGGGAGCGAACAGGAUUAGAUACCCUAGUAGUCC
RNAcentral lists this ribosomal RNA (774 nucleotides) under uncultured bacterium. RNAcentral's name for it is "bacterial SSU rRNA". It matches the Rfam family "Bacterial small subunit ribosomal RNA", at positions 8 to 796 of the family's 1533-position model. The record is from RNAcentral.